GCUCGGGCGGUCAGGAGCCAGGAGGGACAGGAAGGAUGACAGCCCAGCCUCUCGCCUUCCGAAGCCCCUCGGUGACUUUCACGCACAGCCUUUCUUUUCCUUCCCUCUUAAGUUUGUCUCUGGGACGACCCCUACCCCGCGAAACUUUCGGUGGAGCCUGGGCACAUGACGCAGCCUCUUCUCUCCAUCUCGGAGGCUGUUUCUGAGCGUUUGUCCUUCUGCUCCUGAACCGCUCCCGCGUUCCUCGGGCGACUGCCCGACGCUCCAGGCAUCAUGGGGGAGCAGGGCCCUGAGGGGACACUCACAGCAGGUAAAAAUCUUAUUCAAACAAAAAGUAACUGAAAUGCAUCCUACAGUGUCCUGCCCACUGGGCUUCAUGUCCUCCAUCCCCAGCUGACGCCUCUACCAGGGCCCGGGGCUCCCCAGAGCACAGCUCGGAAAUCACCAGGCUGGACGUGCUGGAGGCCCCGUUAGGCUCUGGCAGUCUGGGUCCUGUGGCGUGGGGAUUUCAGGAACGGCCCCAGGAGAGAAGAGAGCCCGCAGCAGGGCAGCCUGGUCCCUGCAGGUGGUCUCAGCAGCAGCAGAGGGCUGGGGGACAAGGAAGAUGCAGAUAGUGCUACCACCAACGGCAGCUGCUCAGGCUGCGGUGGCCCCGCGGCCUCACUUCCCUAAGAGCAGCUGGAGAGAACAGAGGGAUGGUCCCAACACCCGGCCGCCCUGGGAGGUGAGGUGCAAGAGGAAGCCACGUUCAGGUCUUUGCAUUUUUUUUUCAGUGCCAUAGAAAGUUAUUGGAGGGUUUUAAAUACAGCAUGAUCUGAUUGACACACUCAGAAGAUUUACAUGUUUAAAUGACUCCAGCAUUAAGUUGGAGAGUGGAUUGACAGGAUAAGCCUGGAAAGUUCAUUCACUAGUCUUGCUGAGAGAUGAUGCGAUGUCUAACAGAACUGAAACUUUAGGUCCACACAAAAACGGGUACAGGAAUGUUCAUAGGAGCACUAUUCAUAAUAGCCCCGAAGUGGAGACAACUCUAUUGUCCAUCAGCUGAAGAAAGGAUAAAUAAAUGUAGGAUAUCCAUACAGUGGGAUAUCAUUUGGCCGUAAAGGAAUAAAGUACUGGUACCGGUAUGCACUGCAAGAUGGAUGAACCUUGAAAACAUCAUGCUAAGUGAAAGAAGCCACUCACAAGAGACCACAGAUUAUAUGAUCCCAUUAUACGAAAUGUCCAGAAGAGGCACGUCUACAGAGAGAGAAAGGAACUGGUCAUCAGGGCUAGGUGAGGAGGGCGAGUGGGGAGUGAGUGCUAAUGGGUAUGGGGCUUCUUUUGGAGAUGAUUAAAA
RNAcentral lists this long non-coding RNA (1336 nucleotides) under Equus asinus (donkey). RNAcentral's name for it is "lncRNA (ENSEASG00005024610.1)". The record is from RNAcentral. Lineage: Eukaryota; Metazoa; Chordata; Mammalia; Perissodactyla; Equidae.